CAGUCGAACGGAACUGUUUUGAAAGAUUUCUUCGGAAUGAAUUUGAUUUAGUUCAGUGGCGGACGGGUGAGUAACGCGUGAGUAACCUGCCUUCAAGAGGGGGAUAACAUUCUGAAAAGAAUGCUAAUACCGCAUGAUAUAUCGGAACCACAUGGUUUUGAUAUCAAAGAUUUUAUCGCUUGAAGAUGGACUCGCGUCCGAUUAGUUAGUUGGUGAGGUAACGGCUCACCAAGACCGCGAUCGGUAGCCGGACUGAGAGGUUGAACGGCCACAUUGGGACUGAGACACGGCCCAGACUCCUACGGGAGGCAGCAGUGGGGGAUAUUGCGCAAUGGGGGCAACCCUGACGCAGCAACGCCGCGUGAAGGAUGAAGGUUUUCGGAUUGUAAACUUCUUUUAUUAAGGACGAAACUUGACGGUACUUAAUGAAUAAGCUCCGGCUAACUACGUGCCAGCAGCCGCGGUAAUACGUAGGGAGCAAGCGUUGUCCGGAUUUACUGGGUGUAAAGGGUGCGUAGGCGGCUUUGCAAGUCAGAUGUGAAAUCUAUGGGCUCAACCCAUAAACUGCAUUUGAAACUGUAGAGCUUGAGUGAAGUAGAGGCAGGCGGAAUUCCCCGUGUAGCGGUGAAAUGCGUAGAGAUGGGGAGGAACACCAGUGGCGAAGGCGGCCUGCUGGGCUUUAACUGACGCUGAGGCACGAAAGCGUGGGUAGCAAACAGGAUUAGAUACCCUGGUAGUCCACGCUGUAAACGAUGAUUACUAGGUGUGGGGGGUCUGACCCCUUCCGUGCCGGAGUUAACACAAUAAGUAAUCCACCUGGGGAGUACGG
This 829-nucleotide ribosomal RNA is filed under the name uncultured bacterium. RNAcentral's name for it is "bacterial SSU rRNA". It matches the Rfam family "Bacterial small subunit ribosomal RNA", at positions 59 to 885 of the family's 1533-position model. The record is from RNAcentral.